CGGGGUGCAGCAGGCGCGAAAACUCUACAAUGCAGGUAACUGCGAUAGGGGGACAUCGAGUGGCAUCCACCUUGGGUGCCUGUCCCACCGUCUAAAAAACGGUGGUUAGCAAGGGCCGGGCAAGACCGGUGCCAGCCGCCGCGGUAAUACCGGCGGCUCGAGUGGUGGCCGAUAUUAUUGAGUCUAAAGGGUCCGUAGCCGGCUUUGCAAGUCCCCUGGGAAAUCCAGCGGCUUAACCGUUGGGCUUUCAUGGGAUACUACAUUGCUUGGGACUGGGAGAGGUAGGAGGUACUCGGGGGGUAGGGGUGAAAUCCUGUAAUCCCCCGGGGACCACCGGUGGCGAAGGCGUCCUACCAGAACAGGUCCGACGGUGAGGGACGAAAGCUAGGGGCACGAACCGGAUUAGAUACCCGGGUAGUCCUAGCCGUAAACGAUGCCCGCUAGGUGUCACGGCGGUCGUGAAUCGCCGUGGUGCCGUAGGGAAGCCGCGAAGCGGGCCACUUGGGAAGUACGGCCGCAAGGCUGAAACUUAAAGGAAUUGGCGGGGGAGCAC
RNAcentral lists this ribosomal RNA (553 nucleotides) under uncultured archaeon. Its description in RNAcentral is "bacterial SSU rRNA". It matches the Rfam family "Archaeal small subunit ribosomal RNA", at positions 326 to 879 of the family's 1478-position model. The record is from RNAcentral.